CAGUCGCCGCGGUAAUACGUAGGGUGCAAGCGUUAAUCGGAAUUACUGGGCGUAAAGCGUGCGCAGGCGGUUAUAUAAGACAGAUGUGAAAUCCCCGGGCUCAACCUGGGAACUGCAUUUGUGACUGUAUAGCUAGAGUACGGCAGAGGGGGAUGGAAUUCCGCGUGUAGCAGUGAAAUGCGUAGAUAUGCGGAGGAACACCGAUGGCGAAGGCAAUCCCCUGGGCCUGUACUGACGCUCAUGCACGAAAGCGUGGGGAGCAAACAGGAUUAGAUACCCCCGUAGUCCCUGUCUCUAUACC
This 301-nucleotide ribosomal RNA is filed under the name uncultured bacterium. Its description in RNAcentral is "partial 16S ribosomal RNA". It matches the Rfam family "Bacterial small subunit ribosomal RNA", at positions 509 to 808 of the family's 1533-position model. The record is from RNAcentral.